Molecule: long non-coding RNA, 1448 nt
Filed under: Gouania willdenowi (blunt-snouted clingfish)
Lineage: Eukaryota; Metazoa; Chordata; Actinopteri; Blenniiformes; Gobiesocidae
Description: lncRNA (ENSGWIG00000009926.1)
Source: RNAcentral
UAUAAAACGUUUAGAUAGCCCUUAUUUAUGCUGACAAAUAAAAACAAAAAUAGUCCGUGUAUCUUGAAAAGUUUUCUAAGUGUGUAGGUAAAGUGGUGUAGCCAUGGAAACGAGGAGGAAGCGGCAGUUAAAGUCACCUGAUGAUUUUCAACGUUUUUAGUGAGCAGCAAGACACGUUGAGAGAGAGAGCUGUGAACAUCUUUGACCAUCUUUGAUCAUAUUUGAACAUCUUUGACCAUAUUUGAUCAUAUUUGACCAUAUUUGAGCAUCUUUGAUCAUAUUUGAACAUCUUUGACCAUCUUUGACCAUCUUUGACCUGAGAAAGGAGCAAAAACGUUACAAAACACAGUUAAAAGUCAUCAGAACUUCAGACCAAGACCAGAAAAGGACAUUUGAAGACCAGGAGAUCAGAAAAAAUCUGGAGAAUAUUUUGUGGCCUAUAUCGAUCAGCAAGAUGUGGGCCCCAGAACAGCACGUUCAGCCUGAACAGACAUCUUCAACCUUCACUGACGGCCAAUACGGGGCUCCAAACUUUGAAGACCUGACAACCAUCAAUGCCUUUUCUAUCCUAGAGUACUGGUACCAACAAAGUCCUUGUCCCAAAACCGUCACCUCCAUUCCUAAUAUUGUGCACAUGGAGGCCCAACAAUAUACUGACCUCCAACCCUUUAUUCCCCCGCCUGCUAUGACAUAUAAUGAACUUCCAGUAUACACUGCAGGGAUGAAUCCACUUCCCACUUUUGGAGGACAGAAUGAAAACGACUGUUUAAUAAUUGUGCAACCAGUACCCCCAGCACCCCCAGCACCCCCAGUCAAUGCUCCAGUCUCAAAAAAGGUGAAGAAGCCUAAGGAGGUGAAGGUGGAAGAGGGGCCGCAUAUAAAGAAGCCCCCCAAUGCCUUCAUGCUCUUUCUCAAAGAGCACAGGAAGUCUGCAGAAGAAGAACUUGGUGUGAGGACGAGCAGUGUAGUCAACAAACUCCUCGGUGAACUGUGGAAGUCAUUUUCAUCAGAAGAAAAGGAUCAGUAUAAUACUAAGGCCAAAUAUUAUGCUUUGCUCCACCACGAGCAGAACACCGGCUGGACCAACAAACAGAACUAUGCAAAGAAAAGGAAACAAAAUCGGACGGUGAUUAAGACAGUGGGCGUGUCCACGUGUCCGACAUAUUACCCCUGAUACGACAGGUGACACUGGAACUGUCACGAUGGGGUUUUAUUUUGGAGGGCAGGCAGGAACUCUGGGCCUUCCUCCCAGCAGCCUUCUCCUGAUUGGCCACCAGCUGCAAAUAAUUAACUGCUUAGAUAAAUAGGGAGGCUGUGCUGCAGCUCAGGGUUGGGACAUUACUUGUGCUGUGACUAUUGGUUCUUGGGUUUGCUUUUGUUGUUUUUUGAUUACCUCUGCCUCCCUGGACUGACCAUAACUGUGGUAACAAUAAAUCUUGGGAUGAUGC